Molecule: ribosomal RNA, 497 nt
Filed under: uncultured bacterium
Lineage: Bacteria
Description: partial 16S ribosomal RNA
Rfam family: Bacterial small subunit ribosomal RNA
Source: RNAcentral
GAUGAACGCUGGCGGCGUGCCUAAUACAUGCAAGUCGAGCGAACGGACGAGAAGCUUGCUUCUCUGAUGUUAGCGGCGGACGGGUGAGUAACACGUGGAUAACCUACCUAUAAGACUGGGAUAACUUCGGGAAACCGGAGCUAAUACCGGAUGAUAUUUUGAACCGCAUGGUUCAAAAGUGAAAGACGGCCUUGCUGUCACUUAUAGAUGGAUCCGCGCUGCAUUAGCUAGUUGGUAAGGUAACGGCUUACCAAGGCAACGAUGCAUAGACGACCUGAGAGGGUGAUCGGCCACACUGGAACUGAGACACGGUCCAGACUCCUACGGGAGGCAGCAGUAGGGAAUCUUCCGCAAUGGGCGAAAGCCUGACGGAGCAACGCCGCGUGAGUGAUGAAGGUCUUCGGAUCGUAAAACUCUGUUAUUAGGGAAGAACAUAUGUGUAAGUAACUGUGCACAUCUUGACGGUACCUAAUCAGAAAGCCACGGCUAACUACGUG